This 32-nucleotide non-coding RNA is filed under the name Mus musculus (house mouse). The record is from RNAcentral. Lineage: Eukaryota; Metazoa; Chordata; Mammalia; Rodentia; Muridae.
UGGAAGAAACUGCACUUGGCCUGUAUCGCCUA